AUUUAGUACUAUUUUUUCAAAUGAAUUACUUCUAUUUGUAUUACUGUCACAUUUUUGAGAGGUGAAUGCAAGUACGCAUUUCACUGUACUGUGUACACCAUGUGUAUCCUGUGCAUGUGACAAAUAAACUUCACUUGACUUGAAGUAAUUACUAUAUGGGGCCAAAUGGUGCCAUUUUGGAUUUGUUGAACAUCUCAUUCCAACGUCAUGGGCAUUAAUAUGAAGUUGGUCCCCCCUUUGCUGCUAUAACAGCCUCCACUCUUCUGGGAAGGCUUUCCACUAGAUGUUGAAACAUUGCUGUGGUGACUGAUGUUGUGCGAUUAAGCCUGGCUCGCAGUUGACGUUCCAAUUCAUCCCUAAGGUGUUCUGUGAGGUUGCGGUCAGGGCUCUGUUCAUGCCAGUCAAGUUCUUCCACACCAAUCUCAACAAACUAUUUCUGUAUGGACCUCACUUUGUGCAUUGUCAUGCUGAAAGAGGAAAAGGCCUUCCCCAAACUGUUGCCGCAUUCACCUAGCAUCCAACAAACCCAGAUUAAUCCGGUGGACUGCCAGAUGGUGAAGCGUGAUUCAUCACUCCAGAGAACGCGCUUCCACUGUUCCAGAGUCCAAUGACGGCGAGCUUUACACCACUCCAUCCAACGCUUGGGAUUGCGCAUCGUGAUCUUAGGCUUGUGUGCAGGUGCUACGCGCUUCAACAGUUGGUGGUCCCAUUCUGUGAGCUUGUUAGGCCUACCACUGAGCCGUUGUUGCUGCUAGAUGUUUCCACUUUAAAAUAACAGCACUUACAGUUGAAUGGGGCAGCUCUAGCAGGGCAGAAAUGUGACAAACUGAUUUGUUGGGAAGGUAGCAUCCUAUGACGGUGCCACGUUGCCUAUGACAGUGCCAAGUCACUGAGUUCUUCAGUAAGGCCAUUCUAAUGCCAAUGGAGAUUGCAUGGCUGUGUGCUAAAUGUUAGACACCUGUCAGCAAUGGGUGUGGCUGAAAUAGCCAAAUCCACUUAUUUGAAGGGGUGUCCACAUACUUUUGAAUAGAUAGUGUACCUCAUCAAAGGCAUUUUUCAGACAGGUGUUUGUGAAGAAAAAAAAAAGUAGGUCAGAAAGACCAUAAGUUGCGAUCUGUUGCCUUUGUCGGUCAUUUGGAAGAAGUGAACAAUCAGGUAUAUACAUUUCUGUUAAUAGGUUUCUUCUUUAAAAAACUGCCUGAAGCAAGCACUGUAAGUUAUGAUCCUUACUGGCCAUUGCUUUGAUGUGGGAUGUUCCUGUAUCAUCCAUUAGAUGACAAUGUUGAGUGCAAUUAAUGUAACCAACAUUAACCCAGUUCAAAUGAACUGUAGCAUAAUGAAGCUAAUUUAACAUUUAAAUUAUUUUAUGCAUAUAAUACACCAUAGACAUGGGCCUAUAUGGUUUGGUUAUUUCUUCAGCAUAAAACACGAAUAUUGACAGUGAUUGAAUCCAAUAUCUCUUAAGAAGAUAACCUUUUCGGUAUCUCUAAAGAUAAUAUUUGCCUAAUAAUUGUAUAUUUUUCAAAAUUCUGACCUUCACAGGUUUCAGGUAAGCCUAUUAAAAUGUACUCAGACAAUACAUUUUAUUUUCUCAGCGUUGACAGGCAAGAUGCGUCGACUUGUAGUCCUAGUAACGCCAUGAGAGAUGGGUGCUUCGUGGACCACUUUUCUUCAUAAAAAUCGAGAGAUGGCGUCCUGCACCCCGUGAAUAAUCAAAAAUGAUCAUAAAGAAUUGAUGAAGAGAUCACUCUACCGUAAUGUAUCAUUAUGCUACGACCCCUCAAUUGAAGUAGGCUAAUAAUCGUCAUCUUUCACUGAUAGAAACAGCAUUUGUUUUGGGGUUGAUUCCGCUGCGUUUGUUUCAGCAUCCUCCAACUUCCGCCUCUGCGUGUCCAACGCCAGGAGACAGGGAGAGAAGGGCGAUGGCUGCCGGUGGAGGAUGCGGGGAGACUGUGGAUCAGUACCGGGCGAACGUGGAGCGGCUUACCCAGGAACUUGCGGAAGCGAACAGAGAGAAGAUAAGGGCGGCAGAAUGCGGUCUUGUUGUGUUGGAUGAGAACCAGACUCUGAAGCACCAGUAUGCCGAUCUGGAAUCGGAACAGGAGACGCUGAAGCAAGAGUUGGAACAAUUACAAGAGGCGUUUGGCCAGGCAUACUCCAACCAGCGUAAGGUCGCGGAGGAUGGCGAGAUCAACGAGGAGUCGCUGCUGCAGGAGUCAGCGUCAAAGGAGGCCUUCUACAUGGGCCAGCUGCUGGAGCUGCAGACAGAUCUGAAGCUGAGCCGCUCCGUGGCGUCCAACGCGUCCAACGAGAGCGAGAGGCUUAACGCCGUGCUUCAGGAGCACAAAGAGAGUAAUGAGAUGCUGGAGCUGCAGGGGAGCAGGAUGAGAGAGGAAAUCAGGGAGUAUAAGUUCAGAGAGGCGCGACUCCUACAGGACUACACUGAGCUGGAGGAGGAGAACAUCACCCUGCAAAAACUAGUGUCCACCCUCAAACAGAACCAGGUGGAGUAUGAGGGUCUGAAGCAUGAGAUCAAGGUUCUGGAGGAGGAGACAGUGCUGCUGAACAGCCAGCUGGAGGAUGCUGUGCGUCUGAAGGACAUCUCUCAGUCCCAGCUGGAGGAGGCUCUGGAUGCCCUGAAAAUUGAGAGGGAACAGAAGAACAGCCUGAGGAAGGAGCUGGCCCACCACAUCACCCUCAGCGACAGUGUGUAUGGUGCCGGAGCCCACCUGGCUCUCACCGCCACUGUUGACGGGCUCAAAUUUGCCACCGAAGAGGUCGGGAGUAAUGGUACAGCCAUGCAUAAUGGAGCCAACGGGAAUGAGGAUAGCAACGGCCACUGUAAUGGGCACCUGGGAUUGGCCAAGAUGAACGGCGACUACCGGCUGCCCAGGAAGGGGGAGGGGCUGCAUGGUCCUGUGUCUGACCUCUUCAGCGAGCUCAACCUGUCUGAGAUGCAGAAAGUAAAAAAGCAGCUGUUUCAGGUGGAGCGUGAGAAGUCAAGCCUCCUGAUGAACCUGCAGGAGUCACAGACCCAGCUGCAGCACAUGCAGAGCGCCCUGACGGAGCAACACGAGAACGUCCAACGCCUCACCGAACGCGUCAACGUCAUGAAGCACCUCCAAAGUGACAAGGAGAUGGCUGAUUCUCAGGAGUCUGAGAAGUCCAACGGGUCGCCCUCACCCUGUCACCGCGACGACAAGGUGGACAUCCACGGGAUGGACAUCCUGGAGUGUAAGUACAAGGUGGCAGUAACCGAGGUGAUCGACCUGAAGGCGGAGCUAAAAGCCCUGAAGGAGAACUAUAACCAGUGUGUGGAGGGCCAGGGGGAGGAGCGGAGCAGCAAUGAUGGGAAGGUCCAGGCUCUGGAUGAGCAGGUCAACCGGCUGGAGCAGAGCUGCCACGAUUCCCACGAUAGGGUGGCGUGUUUGGAGGCGGAACUAAAGACGGCCUCAGAGAGCCACAGCAUGCUGAACACAGCGCAGGACGAGCUGGUAACAUUCAGCGAGGAGCUGGCCCAGCUCUACCACCACGUGUGUCUCUGCAACAAUGAGACGCCCAACCGCGUCAUGCUGGACUACUACCGCCAGAGCCGUAACACCCGCAGCGGCAGCCUCAAGGGCUCCGAGGACCCCCGGGCACUCCUCUCCCCCCGCCUGGCUAGACGGCUCGCCGCCAUCAACGCUGGAUUCACCGAGACCCCACGGAGCCCCAUAGACUCGCCCUCCAAAGAAUCCCCCAGUGGGGACAACGGGGAAACAGGGAGGGAGUCCCCAGCACCAGGCAGCCAGGGGAGCCCAACCCGCUCCCUCAUGGGCUCCCCGGUCAUCAACGGCACCAACGGCCCUUCCUCCUCCUCCCCCGUGCCUCCCGAGGCAAGUGGAGAUCUGCGUAAGGAGCCCAUGAACAUCUACAACCUGAACGCCAUCAUCAGGGACCAGAUCAAACACCUGCAGAGAGCCGUGGACCGCUCCCUCCAGCUGUCUCGACAGAGGGCAGCCGCCCGGGAGCUGGCCCCCUUGUUCGACAAGGACAAGGAGGCUUGCAUGGAGGAAAUCCUCAAGCUCAAGUCCCUCCUCAGCACCAAGAGGGAGCAGAUUGCCACGCUAAGACUGGUGCUCAAAGCCAACAAACAGACAGCAGAGGUGGCGCUGGCUAAUCUAAAGAGCAAGUAUGAGAAUGAGAAGUGCAUGGUGACAGAGACCAUGAUGAAGCUGAGGAACGAGCUGAAGGCUCUGAAGGAGGACGCUGCCACCUUCUCCUCUCUCAGGGCCAUGUUCGCCACCAGGUGUGAUGAGUACGUGACUCAGCUGGAUGAGAUGCAGAGACAGCUGGCAGCAGCGGAGGAUGAGAAGAAGACCCUGAACUCCCUGCUCCGCAUGGCCAUCCAGCAGAAGCUGGCCUUGACCCAACGCCUGGAGGACCUGGAGUUUGACCACGAACAGACCAGGGACCGCGGCCGCGGCACAAAGGUGCCCAAGAUCAAGAACAGCCCGCCCAAAAUUGUCAGCAGCCUGCUGCCUCUGCCUCAGUAUCGUCACCCUCCCCACAACUAAGAGCCUCCAUAGCCUGCAGAACUAACUAGUUCAUCUCACUACAGUCCCCAACCUCAGCCCUCUAUAACCCACCCAUACAUCCAUGUCCGAGUCCGAACAUUGUGACAGCCCUCCAGGAGGACCAGACACCACCCCUCUCCAGCAGUAGCAGAGGCCCCCUGGAUCCACUCAACAGCCUGGUCCAGCAGCAUCACCCCCCAGGUCCCUAGGCAUUUAGCCAGUGCGGCCCUACCCAUGGGCCCAGGCCUCCUGGAGACACACAGCACCAGAAACUCCUGUCUCCCAUCUCACUCAACCUGGCAUCCCACUUCUGUGUUCCCUCAGUAAGCCCCGCCUCCACAGGCCACACUUUCUCCUGGUUGGUCGGGUUACAGAGAAGAUGAGGGUUGCGGUGCUCCUCACUGGUUGGGCUGGAAUUCCGUCAGAUCCUGUCCAGAAAAGAUAGACUGGAGGACCGGACUGCAGUGCACACGCCAGACUAGCAAAUAUGAUUAACUUAAACAAUGUAUUGUAUCUAUAUGAUUAUUUAUUAUCUAUUUAACUGACUUGGUUAUUUAUUGAUUUGUGUUUUGUUCAUAUUUGUGUUUUGUGAUAUCAUUUGAUUGUUGUUGGUCAUUCUUUAAAAUGAAAUUCAAAAUGAGUAUUAUUGCUGUGGUGUUUAGACUUACUAAACUAUGGCUGUUAUGUUCUCAUUGACAUCGUCAAAAAAUAAAAACAUUUGACAUAUUUCCAAUUGAAUAUAACAAGGUUUUGGAUGGUCUAUGUCCUACAAGUUUAGCAUCACAUUUUCUGUCAAUAACAAUGUUUCCUUUUGGUGAUGUGGGAUGCUUACAAACUUGCCUAACAGACCAGACAGAAUAUUAGCCAUGUAAAAGCAUCAGUUGGUAAGGAUCAUCUCUAAAUGUGUAAUAGCUUCUGUCUUUACAUGGUAGUGUUGAAGUACACAAUGAAUUUGAUAUCAUUGUGGAGAGACUAAUUGAAUGGAAGUGAUAUUGCAUUACAAUGGUAAUCUUUGAUGAGGUGGGUUGUCUUGAUUUUAACUACCAAUCAAACAUCACUACACUUGAGAUGCUUUUUUUAUACAACUUUUUUGCAAGACAAAGAUUAUAUUUUUUACAUCUGUUUUUUUUUUUACCACAGUUACUGCUGAGGUGAUUGAUUAUGUUGUCAUGUAGGUGAAAUCUGAUUUGACAUAGACACUCUGAUACUAAAGGUAGGAGAUGAGGAGGUGACGUCUGGGUUAGUGAACCUGGAUGUGGCCUUUAGAAUUGCACCAGUUGACUCAACCCUGAUCUGUGUGACAAGACUCCCCUCCUCAGUUUAGUUUUAACACAUUUCAGAUAACACAAUCCCCCCAUGCUGUGGACCCCUAGUAUCAUGUUUCUGUCUAAAUAAGGCAUUUGAAUUCGCUCUUCUUAAACAUGGCAUUGUUUAUGUGUCAGAGAUUGCUUGUUUAAUGUCUAACCCAAAGGAAAUUACGGUAAUCAAAUAUCAUGCUGGGGCAUGAAUGAAAUACUGUAGUUUCAAACCAAAGGUAAACUACCUUCUCCUCCAAACAUUGUUCUUUACAAGCACAAUAAGGACUUUGCAUUGAAGAAAUAACAGUGGACAUCUCGAUCCAGGCAUCUAUCUUCCGGUUAUCAGAGCCAUGUAUAGAUCUACCCUGUAUAUGGCUUUGUCGGAUAUGAUACCAUGACACUAACCAGCAGGCUGAGAACAGGGAUGAAUACCAAAGUCUUCCAGGAUAUAGGAAGGAUUUUGUGAGUCACACGCUUACACCUUCAGAUCAAUUUGUAUAAAGCUUUGAUGAUCUGGCUAACCUAGUUGAAACAUUAAUGCAAGAAGAGCCAAGAACAAACCAUGUGUUUGUGUUGAUGAUGUAGCUAAUGUUUGAGUUGAAUGAUUCACAUCCACUGUAUGUAUCUCUUUCUCUCUUUCCUUUGAGUCGAUAGUAAUGAUUAUGUCUUAUGUUUAACUAGUCCGCUUUAUUGAAGGGGAAUCUGAACACCUAGUUCCUUAUAGAUUGGAGCCAGAUGCAUUGUGAUAGAUUUUUCUUACAGUUCUCUAUUCGUUCAUUCACAAAUGUCGGUGGAUUUAUUGAACUUAAUUGGGUUUAUUCUGAUGAGACAUGUGUAUACUGUAACCACAAAGGACAAUCACCCUUAGAAUCCACACAGUUAGUGCUGGUGAAAGCAUGUUUGCAACUACAUUGUUUGUAUUAUGAAACCUUGGGUGGAACAGAAGAAAAUGAAGAAGAGGAGUGAGGUUCAAAGCUAGUCUAGUGACUGGUGUCUGGAGAACAUUUUGUCUACUCCUUUGGUUGUUGCACAAGUUCCUUCAUCAAUGGAAGAUGGCGAUACAGAACAGUGCCCUGGCGGUAGAGACACUAAUCAAUAAAGAAAAAAGGAAUUAAAAGACAGCAAUAUACUGUAUUGGGUUUCUUGUUAAUAUUUUUACUCCAUUUAAAACAGUGUAACAUCGGCUUCAAUAUCAAAUAAAAACAACUGUC
This is an RNA transcript of Oncorhynchus keta (chum salmon), 7065 nucleotides long. It is a transcript of the gene named protein bicaudal D homolog 1-like, with no coding region annotated. The transcript is spliced from 10 exons. The record is from RefSeq and is a predicted model, not a curated record. Lineage: Eukaryota; Metazoa; Chordata; Actinopteri; Salmoniformes; Salmonidae.